Molecule: ribosomal RNA, 233 nt
Filed under: uncultured bacterium
Lineage: Bacteria
Description: partial 16S ribosomal RNA
Rfam family: Bacterial small subunit ribosomal RNA
Source: RNAcentral
UAACCUGCCUUGGAGUGGGGAAUAACAGUUGGAAACAGCUGCUAAUACCGCAUGAUGCAGUUGAGUCGCAUGGCUCUGACUGCCAAAGAUUUAUCGCUCUGAGAUGGACUCGCGUCUGAUUAGCUAGUUGGCAGGGUAACGGCCCACCAAGGCGACGAUCAGUAGCCGGACUGAGAGGUUGGCCGGCCACAUUGGGACUGAGACACGGCCCAGACUCCUACGGAAGGCAGCAG